AUAAUGUUUUAUUAAUUUGUCCUUUUUGGCUGCUGCCAAGACAGCAUAUAUGGAACUGAUUUUUGAACCUCAAGAAACUGACAUUUUGAAUUCUGCUUUGUAUCAUAAGCCUCAAAUGCAAGAAGCUGUGAUUAGAAUGUGAUAAUAGCCGAGGUGCCAUAAUUCUCUGCUGUUGUAUGUUGCCACAAACCUUCAAUCCGUGAGAAAUGCGGUAUCCAUGGUGCACCAUAAAGAGGAGCUCAAUAAAACAAGGAGGUUUGUGCAGCUAAAAUAUCUGACUCCUAAAAUGGAGUUUCCUGAAAUUAUUCCUUACUCAUAGUGUAAUGAGGUGUACGUGUUGGAUCUAUUAUAACUUUCUUUCACUCCAUCUCUCAGAAUAGAUGAUCAUCCUCAUCUUUGCAUCAUAUUCCAAUUAGAAAGGGAUGAUACAACAAGAAAGCUCUCGUAAGAUGUCAGCUGCUUGAUUUUGGACUUCGCAAACUCUAGAACUUUUCUCUUGCUUGCUCCUGCCAUGUAAGAAGUGCCUUUCG
This 530-nucleotide long non-coding RNA is filed under the name Homo sapiens (human). Its description in RNAcentral is "HSALNT0322678". Lineage: Eukaryota; Metazoa; Chordata; Mammalia; Primates; Hominidae. The record is from RNAcentral.